GAGUUUGAUCUUGGCUCAGAACGAACGCUGGCGGCAGGCUUAACACAUGCAAGUCGAACGCGUGUAGCAAUACACGAGUGGCGCACGGGUGAGUAACGCGUGGAUAUCUGCCUUUUGGUUCGGAAUAACCCCGGGAACUGGGCUAAUACCGGAUGGUUCCUACGGGAUAAAGAUUUAUCGCCAAAGAUGAGUCCGCGUACGAUUAGCUAGUUGGUGGGGUAAUGGCUCACCAAGGCGACGAUCGUUAGCUGGUCUGAGAGGACGAUCAGCCACACUGGGACUGAGACACGGCCCAGACUCCUACGGGAGGCAGCAGUGGGGAAUAUUGGACAAUGGGGGCAACCCUGAUCCAGCCAUGCCGCGUGAGUGAUGAAGGCCUUCGGGUUGUAAAGCUCUUUUGGUCGGGGAC
This 409-nucleotide ribosomal RNA is filed under the name uncultured Alphaproteobacteria bacterium. Its description in RNAcentral is "bacterial SSU rRNA". It matches the Rfam family "Bacterial small subunit ribosomal RNA", at positions 9 to 447 of the family's 1533-position model. The record is from RNAcentral. Lineage: Bacteria; Pseudomonadati; Pseudomonadota; Alphaproteobacteria.